UGGUGGUGUGAAUUGUCUGGUUAAUUCCGUUAACGAACGAGACCUUUAUCUACUAAAUAGUACAUUUAUUCUUACGGAUAAUGAAGUAACUUCUUAGAGAGACUUUUCGCUUUUAGCGGAAGGAAGUUAAAGGCAACAACA
This 141-nucleotide ribosomal RNA is filed under the name uncultured eukaryote. RNAcentral's name for it is "partial 18S ribosomal RNA". It matches the Rfam family "Eukaryotic small subunit ribosomal RNA", at positions 1299 to 1458 of the family's 1831-position model. The record is from RNAcentral.